GGGCUGCUGUUCAAACCUCUUCAAAGCCUAUGCCCACCCAAAAACUCUGUGAAAAAAAAAUCUGUGUUAAAUUGACCGAGAAUAGAUUUUCACCUCUGGGAACGUCAAUCAAGCAUUCACCAAAUAUUUUUUGAGAACUUACUAUGAUCUCAAAAUACUAACCCCCCCCCCAAGGCUUAAUCCCAGACUCUUACCUGUGGCAUAAAUCAACAUAUUUCAAUCCCAAAUAAGUCUGCUCCAGACUCUCUGAUAAGCGAGUCCACACAUCCAGAUGCACCCACUUGUGAUUCUCAAAGGGAACCUCCAAGUGAGCAUUUCCCACAGUGAAACUCAUCAUCUUCCCCUCCCAGUGUGCUUCUUAUUGCACACGUCCUUGGAUGUCACUCCAAACAGCUGCUUAGGGAAGCCAUUCUUGACUCCUGUCUGCCUCCCUUAUCUCCUGAAAGUGCAGUCAAUUGUUUUAUCCUCUGAAAUUUUACCCCACCUGUAAAGUCAGUCUCCUCUGCCACCUCUUUGUCAGGACUGCCAUCAUGCCUCACCUGGACUGCAUCAUGGAUGGACCUUCUCCCUGGUCUGUCCAUACAUUUUCUCCACUCCUCUAAAAACUCUCCACUUGCCAGAGACAUCUUUUCAAACACCAGACUUGAUCUGGGGACUCCACACCCAAGAACACAUUCAUGACUUGCCAUUGUUCCUGGGAUGGAUUUCAACACCUGUCGUGUCCAGACAUCUUUCCAGGAACCUGGGGCUUUUCUAGGUCUCCAGGAGCACUUGGCAUUAUCCUUUUCUUUUAGAAUUAAACCUCAGCCAUGCUGGAAUUCUCUAAUUCGGUGCACCUUCCCUGCUUCCAGCACGGGGGUCACCCUUCGUGUCUGCAGAAAGCAUGCCAAACUUCCUGUUUGCCUCUGAAACUCUUCGUCUUCCCUGAGACGCAAACCUUACUUCCUUAGCCCAGCCAUGGCUAACCCCGUGGUGUGAUUAUUUCUCAACAACAGUGUUGAUAAUUAAAGAUUAAUCGGGUCAUGAUUUAUUUAUUGCCUACUUCCUGGUAAAAGUCUGUUUUUCCUUCUGUGGUAGCUGUUUCCUCUAGCAUAGUACUUUACACGUGGUCGAUGCUCAAUAAAUAUGCCUGAUUCAAAGACAUCAAAUGAAUGCAUCCUGGUGAAUGAAUUAGACCCAGUCUGAGACGGUCCCUAAAUUCCUAAACUUGUGUGUGUCUAUUAUAUUCACAUGUGCUUUGGUUGUAGAAAGUUCUUUCAUCCAAGUCCCAAACACAGUGAUUCUUUGUCUUUUAGUAUUUACUCGUGCUGGUUUACAAGGAGAGGGCAGCUUCAUUUCAUACUGACCUAAACUUGUUUAUCUUCCUUGAUAGUUCAGGCACGGUUUUUCCUUUAUAAUUCAGUUUGAAAAAAUAUUGAAAGAGAAUGGGCAUGUAUUUUCCUUCCAUUUGCCCAGAACUCAACAGAUCUGCAAAUUCUAUGUAUACUUGUUGUUAUGAAGCUCAGGCGAGUUUUUCUCAAUUAUAUUUUUGAUACUUUUGGGAGGUGAAGGAAUGCAUCUUGCGGUGCCUGUUCCUACUUAAGUUUGCUGGAAGCUUCUCUCAUUCCUGCUUUGCCACUUUUAGAAGUUUAUGGAAUGUGUUUUCCUGGGUUUUUUUGUUUUGUGUUUCAGCACUGAUAAUUCUGUUAGUUUUUACAUUUGUUUUCUUUCUGUUUAUGCUGUUCCUUGGUGCCUCUGGUGUUUAUUGAUUUCCUUCUCCUAUCAUUAUUUUCUCACUGCAUCUUAAAUGUUACCUAAAUAACACAUGGUUAAAACCCCACGAUGUUCCUUGUUUUAAUAAAAUGAAUAAUCAAAUAAAUAAUACAAGAGGAGGCCACAGAAGGAUCAAUAACAAUAGUUCUUUUCAACUUAGGAAUUUAAUUAAUCCAACAUGUACUCUUAAGAUCCAGGACUCUCUUAAUUGUUUAGUGUGCUGUGAACAAAAUACGGUCUCAAAUGGACCUUUAAAUCCUGCUUGGCUCUCAUCUCUCAAAUUUAGCAUAAUCGUUUGCAUCUCCUUUUGGUUGCCAUUAGAAUAAAGAGCUUCCUCCAGAAUUGACAUCAAAUAAAUGGGAAAGCCAUGUUUACUUGAGUCAUAACUAAGGACACAUGGUAAGCACAGGCAUUAUGAAGAUAAAUAGAGCAUUAGAGUAAGUAAUGAGGAAGCAAAGCCACGACAGAGAAGGGGCUGCAUUCUGAUAUAGAAUAUAGCUUACCUAGCACUCUAAUUUGUUCUUGACCUACUUUGUGUUACUCGUAUUUGUGAAGCGUCGGAAGGAGAAUGACUAAACAUCAUGAAUCAAAUUAUUAAAAUAAUAUGGUUACCAGCAGAAAUUGUUUGCUGAAACAAUUAAAUUCUUCCUAGCUCACCUUGCGGUGCUGUCAAAAGAGCACAGACUUCUUGGUUAAGUAAAAGCAGGCAUCACUUUUCACCUCCUCUUUUCUAAGUUGCUUCAAGUCAGGGAUCUCUUCUUAAAUGCAGCACCCUCAUGUAUAACAUGGUCACAGCGUUGGGGAAUGGCUCGGAUCGUCGGUGUCGGAAAAUGAGACACAUGAACACGGGGAGAUCUCGACAAGGCUCUUUGCUUCUGCAGAAGGGCGCAGGCACUCAAAACGCGUGCAAAGAAGAAAAGACCCUCCCUAUGUAUCCCUAACACAGGUGAUGCACCUGCCCCCUUCCCAUGGGUCAGAUCAGGGCACACAUUCUUCUCAGUUGGCUAAUUUGAAACAAAUUGUUACUGGGAGAAGAAGGAAAGAGGAGGGGGGGUUGCAGGAAGGUGUUUCAGCCAAAACUGGAGCAAAAUGGAGUCACCAAGAUUUCCUUUGAUAAAAAAGACAUUAUGUUACUUUUCACAAUAGGAUUACCUGUGGCGGUGGGUGGUUCUAGAUCUUAAGUGUGCAUCCAGGGAUCCCCCGGCCCUACCCUUCAGAGUUUCUCAUCUCUAAGUCUGAAUUGAGGCUCCGAAUUUGCAUUUCUGUUGGGUACCCAAGUGAUCUGGGGACCACCAUUCGAGGAGAUAACCUUUUAAUUGUUCAGAAGCCUGAUGAGAAGCUUGAGACUCUUGCCCCAGAGAUGCUGGGUGAAGUGACUUCAGAUGACUGGAGUGGUGGUGAUUCAGCUUGUACCUGCUGGGUAACCAUUAGUCUCCAGAAAGCUUUUGGCUCCACAUGUGGUGAUAUGCUUAGACCAAGUUGGGUCUAUUUCUUUGUAUAUGUAUUUGUUUUCAUUCUCUUUUCAUAGCCAAAUAUUCUGAGUCCCCGAAGGAACCCGAAUUGGUCAAUGGGUGUUUGCUUGCUUGUUGGAUGACUACAUACAUUUAAGCCUUGACUAAGGGAAUGUAAGCCCAUCCCCCUGCAGAAUCCAGGCCUCAGUGUCUAGGGUAAUUGAGUGUUACCUUUCCCACGCCUGGUAUCUCUAGGGGCCCACAGACCAUUCCACCGCUGGAGUUGGGUAAAGGCAGUCCAUAGACAAAAUUCCCUUAAUUAAACCGUGUUUUGCCUCUGUCAGCGUCUGAGAAUAAGCACUUUUUACCUAAGAUCUUAUCUUUAUCAAUGUUUCAUAUUUAUAAUCUAAGUUUCGCGAGUCUCAUAAUCAUUUGUGUAUCUAUUAAUGUGCAAAUACUUAGCCAAAUAGGAGACCAGAAAGUCUUUGAAAGGACGAGUUUCCUAGGUCAUUCCCAAGUUUUGAAAUUGCAAAUAAUUCUCCUAAAGCUACCCCAGGCCUAUUUUCUUAAAAUGCAAAGAAAUCUCCACCUAAAAGAGUCCUUUGUGCAGGGAAUAAACAAAGACGUUAGGCUUCUUAUGACAUUUAGAAAAAUUGGAGGAGGCCCUUUCUGAUACUGGAUCAUUGUAGAAAGCAGGUCUGGUCCUAAAUACAAGAGUCUUAAGUCACUUUCGAAGAUCUCAGAGUGCAUAUUCAGUAUUACUUUGACAUACUCUUUCUUUAAUCAACAUUUGGUGAGUGCUAAUAUAUUUUAGGCUGUGGGUUAGAUUUGGGGUAUGAAGAUCAGCAACACUUCGACUCCGGAUGUGAGAAAGUGACUUGACAACAGUCCUUUCAUUUUGGCUCUUUAGUGGGAGCCCCAAAAAGUGGAGUAUAGGCAAAGUGGAAUAAUCAGUAUGAUGAGGGUAGGGGGUUGACCAACCAAUUAGGGAAAACUUUAGAUGGAGCUUAAGGGAUCAGAAUUGUCUGCAACCGUCUAUUUGUAAUAGAUAAGAGGAUUAGACAUAAGUGAUUUUUCUAAGUCAUACAUCAUAGUUCCAGCCACAUGCAAUACCAGACCUGAGCCAUGUCUGCAGUCUACACUUAGCUGUGGCCCUUCUGGAUCCUUAACCCACCGAGCAAAGGCCAGGGAUCAAACCUUCAUCCUCAUGGAUACUCCUCAGGUUCUUAACCCACUGACCCGCAAGAGGAACUUAGAAAAUUUAAAUUAUAAAAUUUAUCCUUCUGAGAGACAGUAAAACCUCUGUCAUUCUUGAGCCCUCACAAGUCAAGCAUCUCGGCCAAAGAACUCAGAAAAAUGGUGCAGAUAUAAAGUCACGUGCUGCCUUUCUGUGUCUUCAGACUUUGCCAACCAGGAUGCUUAUAUACACGUCACCUCUACCUUAGACCUGGUUUUCAAAGUGUGAAUGUCAAGCCUGGUGUAAUCCAACUGAGGUUUUAGAAGUAAGUUAACGCUUUUUUUUUUUUUUUUUUAGGGCUGCUCCUGUGGCAUAUGGAGCUUCCCAGGCUAGGGGUUGUAUUGGAGCUACAGCUGCUGGCGUACGCCACAGCCAUAGCAGCACAGGAUCCAAGCCACAUCUGUGAUCUACACCACAGCUCAUGGCAAUGCUGGAUCCUUAACCCACUGAGCAAGGCUAGGGAUCGAACCCACAUCCUCAUGGAUCCUAGUCAGGUUCGUUAACCACUGAGCCACAAAGGUAACUCCCGCAAGUUAAAAUUUUCAUGUUAUGCAUGAUGAAGACAAUUCAAAAUUGGUGCACUCAGGUUUAGCCAAUAGACGUAUAUUGUAAAACCACACAUGCAAGUCACUUAAUGCAAUUUUGCACGUUCUAGAAGAAUGAGUGAAAGCAAUUUUGAUAGCACAUUUUUUUUGGUCCAGUGUAUCUAAAAUAUUAUCAUUUCCAUGUGUAGGCACAUUAAAAGUGUUUGAUAUACUGAGUCUAGAAUCCAGUGCGAAUCUCACACUUACUGCACAUCUGCAUUGGACAGGUGUUUGGUAGAUGUGUGAGGCUGGUGGUCCCUGUAUUGGACAAUAAAGACAAUCUACUGGAAAAAAAAAAAAAA
This 5326-nucleotide long non-coding RNA is filed under the name Sus scrofa (pig). RNAcentral's name for it is "lncRNA (ENSSSCG00065007173.1)". Lineage: Eukaryota; Metazoa; Chordata; Mammalia; Artiodactyla; Suidae. The record is from RNAcentral.